RNAcentral lists this ribosomal RNA (480 nucleotides) under uncultured bacterium. RNAcentral's name for it is "bacterial SSU rRNA". It matches the Rfam family "Bacterial small subunit ribosomal RNA", at positions 28 to 507 of the family's 1533-position model. The record is from RNAcentral.
GACGAACGCUGGCGGCGUGCUUAACACAUGCAAGUCGAACGAGAAUCUGUGGAAAGAGGAUUCGUCCAAUUGAAACAGAGGACAGUGGCGGACGGGUGAGUAACGCGUGAGGAACCUGCCUUUCAGAGGGGGACAACAGUUGGAAACGACUGCUAAUACCGCAUAACGCAUAGAGAUCGCAUGGUCUUUAUGCCAAAGAUUUAUCGCUGAAAGAUGGCCUCGCGUCUGAUUAGCUAGUUGGCGGGGUAACGGCCCACCAAGGCGACGAUCAGUAGCCGGACUGAGAGGUUGAACGGCCACAUUGGGACUGAGAUACGGCCCAGACUCCUACGGGAGGCAGCAGUGGGGAAUAUUGGGCAAUGGGCGCAAGCCUGACCCAGCAACGCCGCGUGAAGGAAGAAGGCUUUCGGGUUGUAAACUUCUUUUGUCAGGGACGAGAAGAAGACGGUACCUGACGAAUAAGCCACGGCUAACUACGUG